Hemicordylus capensis (graceful crag lizard) is the source of this 223-nucleotide long non-coding RNA. RefSeq lists it as uncharacterized. The transcript is spliced from 2 exons. The record is from RefSeq and is a predicted model, not a curated record. NCBI's taxonomy places the organism in Eukaryota, Metazoa, Chordata, Lepidosauria, Squamata, Cordylidae.
CAUUGCAGGAGCUGAGGAGAGGCUGACUCUACAUUCCCAAAUAGGGGGGGACGGGACCCCUCUGCACACAGAAAAUGUGUGAGUGUGUACUAUGUGAACUGGUUUUGCAGCACCAAGACUGCAAUGUCAUACUGUGAAGAUGGAUCUACCAUCCCAGCCACUUUAAAACCUCUUUCCACUAAUCCUAUACAAGUGGAUAAUUAUUAAAGCUCUGAGAAGCUUA